Molecule: ribosomal RNA, 434 nt
Filed under: uncultured Clostridium sp.
Lineage: Bacteria; Bacillati; Bacillota; Clostridia; Eubacteriales; Clostridiaceae
Description: partial 16S ribosomal RNA
Rfam family: Bacterial small subunit ribosomal RNA
Source: RNAcentral
ACGGAAGGCAGCAGUGGGGAAUAUUGGACAAUGGAGGCAACUCUGAUCCAGCGACGCCGCGUGAGUGAAGAAGUAUUUCGGUAUGUAAAGCUCUAUCAGCAGGGAAGAUAAUGACGGUACCUGACUAAGAAGCCCCGGCUAACUACGUGCCAGCAGCCGCGGUAAUACGUAGGGGGCAAGCGUUAUCCGGAUUUACUGGGUGUAAAGGGAGCGUAGACGGCUUUGUAAGUCUGAUGUGAAAGGCAGGGGCUCAACUCCUGGACUGCAUUGGAAACUACAGAGCUUGAGUGCCGGAGAGGUAAGCGGAAUUCCUAGUGUAGCGGUGAAAUGCGUAGAUAUUAGGAGGAACACCAGUGGCGAAGGCGGCUUACUGGACGGUAACUGACGUUGAGGCUCGAAAGCGUGGGGAGCAAACAGGAUUAGAUACCCUGGUA